This 542-nucleotide ribosomal RNA is filed under the name Pseudomonas sp. RNAcentral's name for it is "bacterial SSU rRNA". It matches the Rfam family "Bacterial small subunit ribosomal RNA", at positions 60 to 598 of the family's 1533-position model. Lineage: Bacteria; Pseudomonadati; Pseudomonadota; Gammaproteobacteria; Pseudomonadales; Pseudomonadaceae. The record is from RNAcentral.
AGUCGAGCGGUAGAGAGAAGCUUGCUUCUCUUGAGAGCGGCGGACGGGGAGUAAUGCCUAGGAAUCUGCCUGGUAGUGGGGGAUAACGUUCGGAAACGGACGCUAAUACCGCAUACGUCCUACGGGAGAAAGCAGGGGACCUUCGGGCCUUGCGCUAUCAGAUGAGCCUAGGUCGGAUUAGCUAGUUGGUGAGGUAAUGGCUCACCAAGGCGACGAUCCGUAACUGGUCUGAGAGGAUGAUCAGUCACACUGGAACUGAGACACGGUCCAGACUCCUACGGGAGGCAGCAGUGGGGAAUAUUGGACAAUGGGCGAAAGCCUGAUCCAGCCAUGCCGCGUGUGUGAAGAAGGUCUUCGGAUUGUAAAGCACUUUAAGUUGGGAGGAAGGGUUGUAGAUUAAUACUCUGCAAUUUUGACGUUACCGACAGAAUAAGCACCGGCUAACUCUGUGCCAGCAGCCGCGGUAAUACAGAGGGUGCAAGCGUUAAUCGGAAUUACUGGGCGUAAAGCGCGCGUAGGUGGUUUGUUAAGUUGGAUGUGAA